This 468-nucleotide ribosomal RNA is filed under the name uncultured bacterium. RNAcentral describes it as "partial 16S ribosomal RNA". It matches the Rfam family "Bacterial small subunit ribosomal RNA", at positions 28 to 507 of the family's 1533-position model. The record is from RNAcentral.
GACGAACGCUGGCGGCGUGCUUAACACAUGCAAGUCGAACGGAAAGGCCCUGCUUUUGUGGGGUGCUCGAGUGGCGAACGGGUGAGUAACACGUGAGUAACCUGCCCUUGACUUUGGGAUAACUUCAGGAAACUGGGGCUAAUACCGGAUAGGAGCUCCUGCUGCAUGGUGGGGGUUGGAAAGUUUCGGCGGUUGGGGAUGGACUCGCGGCUUAUCAGCUUGUUGGUGGGGUAGUGGCUUACCAAGGCUUUGACGGGUAGCCGGCCUGAGAGGGUGACCGGCCACAUUGGGACUGAGAUACGGCCCAGACGCCUAAGGGAGGCAGAAGUGGGGAAUAUUGCACAAUGGGCGGAAGCCUGAUGCAGCAACGCCGCGUGCGGGAUGACGGCCUUCGGGUUGUAAACCGCUUUCGCCUGUGACGAAGCGUGAGUGAAGGUAAUGGGUAAAGAAGCACCGGCUAACUACGUG